RNAcentral lists this ribosomal RNA (253 nucleotides) under uncultured bacterium. RNAcentral's name for it is "partial 16S ribosomal RNA". It matches the Rfam family "Bacterial small subunit ribosomal RNA", at positions 524 to 776 of the family's 1533-position model. The record is from RNAcentral.
UACGUAGGUGGCAAGCGUUGUCCGGAUUUAUUGGGCGUAAAGCGUGCGCAGCCGGUUCCUUAAGUCUGAUGUGAAAGCCCCCGGCUCAACCGGGGAAGGGCAUUGGAAACUGGUGAACUUGAGUGCAGAAGAGGAAAGUGGAAUUCCAUGUGUAGCGGUGAAAUGCGUAGAGAUAUGGAGGAACACCAGUGGCGAAGGCGGCUUUCUGGUCUGCAACUGACGCUGAUGUGCGAAAGCGUGGGGAGCAAACAGG